CCUACGGGGGGCAGCAGUGGGGAAUAUUGGGCAAUGGGCGCAAGCCUGACCCAGCAACGCCGCGUGAAGGAAGAAGGCUUUCGGGUUGGAAACUUCUUUUCUGAGGGACGAAGAAAGUGACGGUACCUCAGGAAUAAGCCACGGCUAACUACGUGCCAGCAGCCGCGGUAAUACGGCGGUGGCAAGCGGUAUCCGGAUUUAUUGGGUGUAAAGGGCGCGUAGGCGGGAAGGCAAGUCAGUUGUGAAAGCUCAGGACUCAACCGUGAGAUUGCAUUUGAUACUGGUUUCCUUGAGUACUGGAGAGGUAGGCGGAAUUCGGUGUGUAGCGGUGAAAUGCGUAGAUAUAACGAAGAACACCGAUUGCGAAGGCGGACUGCUGGACUGUAACUGACGCUGAUGCUCGAAAGUGUGGGUAGCAAACAGGAUGAGAUACCCUUGUAGUC
Molecule: ribosomal RNA, 443 nt
Filed under: uncultured bacterium
Lineage: Bacteria
Description: partial 16S ribosomal RNA
Rfam family: Bacterial small subunit ribosomal RNA
Source: RNAcentral